Molecule: non-coding RNA, 358 nt
Organism: Chiloscyllium plagiosum (whitespotted bambooshark)
Lineage: Eukaryota; Metazoa; Chordata; Chondrichthyes; Orectolobiformes; Hemiscylliidae
Source: RefSeq, a predicted model, not a curated record
CUUUUCCUUUUUUUGAGAAAAGGACAUGUUAAUUUUGUGGUAGGGUUUAGCCGUUGGACUGUAGUUUUAUUUGCUUUUUGUAUGUGUCUUCACUUUUUAUUGGUGUUUGGACUGAGUCGUUGUGGAAGACAUACAUGUUACCAGAGGAGUUGUUCCUGUGGGGCGGCCUAGCCCUGGGACUGGGCCUCUGAAGAUUUAACACCUGUGUGUGUGCUGGGAGACUGAGCCCUUGUGGAAGAUAUUUUGACCAAAGGAGCUGUUCCUGUGGGGAGGCCUAGCCUGGGACUAGGCCUCUGAAGAUUGCACACCUGUGUGCUGGGAGUGUUUGGAUUGAGCCCUUGUGGAAGACAUUUCCCCU